GAGCUGUUCAGUCCAUGUUUCGCUCUCUUAACGUGACAAUGUCUACUUACCGCUGCUCUCAGCUGUUGUUAUUAUGUGUUUUGCUCGGCAUUUGUGCUAUGAGCUAUGCGCAAGUCUCCAGUUGCGCUAGGAAUGGGGAUUAUUGUCAAACGCAUCGGCAAUGUUGCUCUGGCAGGUGCAUGACUUAUCUCUACAAGUGCGCUCCCAGGGUCCCACAGAUAUUGUACAA
This is a long non-coding RNA of Drosophila navojoa, 229 nucleotides long. Lineage: Eukaryota; Metazoa; Arthropoda; Insecta; Diptera; Drosophilidae. The record is from RefSeq and is a predicted model, not a curated record.